UUUCGGUUGAUCCCGCCGGACCUGACUGCUAUCGGAUUGAUACUAAGCCAUGCGAGUCUUUGCAGUAAUGCAAGGCAGACGGCUCAGUAACACGUAGUCAACUUACCCUAUGGACGAGGAUAAUCUCGGGAAACUGAGCAUAAUACUCGAUAGAUCAUAAUGCCUGGAAUGGUUUAUGAUUAAAAUGAUUCGUCGCCAUAGGAUGGGACUGCGGCCUAUCAGCUUGUUGGUGAGGUAAUGGCCCACCAAGGCGAUUACAGGUACGGGCUCUGAGAGGAGAAGCCCGGAGAUGGGUACUGAGACAAGGACCCAGGCCCUAUGGGGCGCAGCAGGCGAGAAAACUUUGCAAUGUGCGAAAGCACGACAAGGUUAAUCCGAGUGAUUUCUGCUAAAGAAAUCUUUUGCAGGUCAUAAAACCACUAGUGAAUAAGGGGUGGGCAAGUUCUGGUGUCAGCCGCCGCGGUAAAACCAGCACCUCAAGUGGUCAGGAGGAUUAUUGGGCCUAAAGCAUCCGUAGCCGGCUCUGUAAGUUUUCGGUUAAAUCCAUGUGCUCAACGCAUGGGCUGCCGAAAAUACUGCAUAGCUAGGGAGUGGGAGAGGUAGACGGUACUCAGUAGGAAGGGGUAAAAUCCUUUGAUCUAUUGAUGACCACCUGUGGCGAAGGCGGUCUACCAGAACACGUUCGACGGUGAGGGAUGAAAGCUGGGGGAGCAAACCGGAUUAGAUACCCGGGUAGUCCCAGCUGUAAACGAUGCAGACUCGAUGAUGCAUUGGCAUAUAGCCAGUGCAGUGUCGCAGGGAAGCCGUUAAGUCUGCCGCCUGGGAAGUACGUACGCAAGUAUGAAACUUAAAGGAAUUGGCGGGGGAGCACCACAAGGGGUGAAGCCUGCGGUUCAAUUGGAGUCAACGCCGGGA
RNAcentral lists this ribosomal RNA (915 nucleotides) under uncultured archaeon. RNAcentral's name for it is "SSU rRNA". It matches the Rfam family "Archaeal small subunit ribosomal RNA", at positions 1 to 923 of the family's 1478-position model. The record is from RNAcentral.